RNAcentral lists this ribosomal RNA (468 nucleotides) under uncultured bacterium. Its description in RNAcentral is "partial 16S ribosomal RNA". It matches the Rfam family "Bacterial small subunit ribosomal RNA", at positions 28 to 507 of the family's 1533-position model. The record is from RNAcentral.
GACGAACGCUGGCGGCGUGCUUAACACAUGCAAGUCGAACGGAAAGGCCCUGCUUUUGUGGGGUGCUCGAGGGGCGAACGGGGGAGUAACACUUGAGUAACCUGCCCUUGACUGUGGGAUAACUUCAGGAAACUGGGGCUAAUACCGGAUAGGAGCUCCUGCUGCAUGGUGGGGGUUGGAAAGUUUCGGCGGUUGGUGAUGGACUCGCGUCUUAUCAGCUUGUUGGUGGGGUAGUGGCUUACCAAGGCUUUGACGGGUAGCCGGCCUGAGAGGGUGACCGGACACAUUGGGACGGAGAUACGGCACAGACUCCUACGGGAGGCAGCAGUGGGGAAGAUUGCACAAUGGGCGGAAGCAUGAUGCAGUACAGCAGCGUGCGGGAUGACGGCAUUCGGGUUGUAAACCGAUUUCGCCUGUGACGAAGCGUGAGUGACGGUAAUGGGUAAAGAAGCACCAGCUAACUACGUG